Molecule: ribosomal RNA, 465 nt
Filed under: Vreelandella stevensii
Lineage: Bacteria; Pseudomonadati; Pseudomonadota; Gammaproteobacteria; Oceanospirillales; Halomonadaceae
Description: partial 16S ribosomal RNA
Rfam family: Bacterial small subunit ribosomal RNA
Source: RNAcentral
CCUACGGGUGGCUGCAGUGGGGAAUAUUGGACAAUGGGGGCAACCCUGAUCCAGCCAUGCCGCGUGUGUGAAGAAGGCCCUCGGGUUGUAAAGCACUUUCAGUGAGGAAGAACGCCUGGUGGUUAAUACCCAUCAGGAAAGACAUCACUCACAGAAGAAGCACCGGCUAACUCCGUGCCAGCAGCCGCGGUAAUACGGAGGGUGCGAGCGUUAAUCGGAAUUACUGGGCGUAAAGCGCGCGUAGGUGGCUUGAUAAGCCGGUUGUGAAAGCCCCGGGCUCAACCUGGGAACGGCAUCCGGAACUGUCAAGCUAGAGUGCAGGAGAGGAAGGUAGAAUUCCCGGUGUAGCGGUGAAAUGCGUAGAGCUCGGGAGGAAUACCAGUGGCGAAGGCGGCCUUCUGGAUUGAAAAUGAAACUGAGGUGCGAAAGCGUGGGUAGCAAGCAGGAGUAGAUACCCUAGUAGUC